AAUAUUGCGCAAUGGAGGGAACUCUGACGCAGCGACGCCGCGUGAGCGACGAAGGUCUUCGGAUUGUUAUGCUCUGUCCUUGGGGAAGAAGGUCUUCGGACGUGACGGUACCUCAGGAGGAAGGCCCGGCGAACUACGUGCAGGCAGCCGCGGUAAUACGUAGGGGGCAAGCGUUGUCCGGAAUUAUUGGGCGUAAAGGGUGCGCAGGCGGCCUUUUAAGUCAGAUGUGAAAGCCCACGGCUUAACCGUGGGACUGCAUUUGAAACUGGAGGGCUUGAGUAUCGGAGAGGGUAGUGGAAUUCCCAGUGUAGCGGUGGAAUGCGUAGAUAUUGGGAGGAACACCAGUGGCGAAGGCGACUACCUGGACGAAAACUGACGCUGAGGCACGAAAGCUAGGGGAGCAAAC
This 406-nucleotide ribosomal RNA is filed under the name uncultured bacterium. RNAcentral describes it as "partial 16S ribosomal RNA". It matches the Rfam family "Bacterial small subunit ribosomal RNA", at positions 360 to 773 of the family's 1533-position model. The record is from RNAcentral.